This 1323-nucleotide ribosomal RNA is filed under the name Hierodula patellifera. Its description in RNAcentral is "16S ribosomal RNA". The stretch from base 1075 to 1233 matches the Rfam family "Archaeal large subunit ribosomal RNA", at positions 2542 to 2701 of the family's 2987-position model. RNAcentral also lists the same sequence under 1 other name. Lineage: Eukaryota; Metazoa; Arthropoda; Insecta; Mantodea; Mantidae. The record is from RNAcentral.
AUUAAUAAAAUUGUUUUGUAUUUUUUUUGAUUUGAAUUGAUUUUAAUUAAAUAAAUUUAAGUUAUUGUAAAGUAAAUUGAUUGAAUUAUUUUUACUAUAGUAAAUUAGUACUGUGAAGGAAUUUUUUUUAUAAAUUAUAUAUUAUAAUUAAUAAAAGGUAAUUUUAUUUAUUGUAUCUUGUGUAUCAGAAUAUAUUUAAAUGGAUUAUAAAUUUUUUUUUCUCGAAUUUAAAAGAUUUAAUUGAAAAUAUUAGUUAUUGUUGCAUAAUUAUUAAUAAUUUUUAAUUGGUAGUGAGAUGUUAUUCGUUUUUAAGGAUAUCUAGUUUUUUAAUAAAUGAAUUUAAUUCAAAAAGUAUAAUUUAUUAAAUAAUUUAUUAUUUUAAUAUUUUGUACUUUUAAUUUUAAGAGGGAUAAACUUUUUAAAAUAAAAUUAUAAUAAUAAGGAGAAAUGAAAAGGAUUUUAUUAAUUUAGAAUUUGUUAAUGAUUAAAGGAUGUUAAAAUUUAAUUCUUUGUUUGAAUGAUUUAUAUUUUUAUUUAAUUUUUAUAUUAAAAUGUUGAGUUUAAUUAAAAAAUUUUGGAAAAUAUGAUUUAAUUAGUAAAAUUUUGAUUUGUUUUGUUAAAUUGAUUGAUAUGUUAGUGUGAAGAAUUAGGCAAAAAUUUUGCUCACCUGUUUAUUAAAAACAUGGUUUCUUGUAUUUAUUUAAGAAAUUUGACCUGCCCACUGAAUGAAUUUUUAAAGGGCCGCAGUAUAUUGACUGUGCAAAGGUAGCAUAAUCAUUAGUCUUUUAAUUGAAGGCUGGUAUGAAUGGUUGGAUGAGGUGAAUUCUGUUUUAUAUUAAUUUAUAUUGAAUUUAGAUUUUAAGUAAAAAGACUUAAAUAAUAUUAAGGGACGAGAAGACCCUAUAGAGUUUAAUAAAUAUAUUAAUUAAUUGAGUUAUUAAUAUAAUUUUUGAUUAUUAAAAAGAUUUAUUUAAUUGGGGUGAUUAGAAGAUAAGUUUAACUCUUCUUUAUUUUUAAUAUUAUAAUUAGUUAUGUGAUCCAUAUUUAAUGAUUAAAAGAUUAAAUUACCUUAGGGAUAACAGCAUAAUUUUUUUUGAGAGUUCAUAUCGAGAAAAGGGAUUGUGACCUCGAUGUUGGAUUAAGAUUAGUUUUGGGUGCAGAUGUUCAAUAACUAGGUCUGUUCGACCUUGAUAAUCUUACAUGAUCUGAGUUUAAACCGGCGUGAGCCAGGUUGGUUUCUAUCUUUAAUUAAUUUAAAUAUUUUAGUACGAGAGGACCAAAUAUUUAAAAUAAUUUUUAUUUUUGGAGAAUGUUAUUAAUUGA